CCCAGCAUGCCGCGUGAGUGAUGAAGGCCUUAGGGUUGUAAAGCUCUUUUACCAGGGAUGAUAAUGACAGUACCUGGAGAAUAAGCUCCGGCUAACUCCGUGCCAGCAGCCGCGGUAAUACGGAGGGAGCUAGCGUUGUUCGGAAUUACUGGGCGUAAAGAGUACGUAGGCGGUGAUUCAAGUCAGAGGUGAAAGCCUGGANCUCAACUCCAGAACUGCCUUUGAAACUAGAUCGCUAGAAUUGUGGAGAGGUUAGUGGAAUUCCGAGUGUAGAGGUGAAAUUCGUAGAUAUUCGGAAGAACACCAGUGGCGAAGGCGACUAACUGGACACAUAUUNACGCUUNNNGUACGAAAGCGUGGGGAGCAAACAGGAUUAGAUACCCUGGUAG
Molecule: ribosomal RNA, 389 nt
Filed under: alpha proteobacterium Z20
Lineage: Bacteria; Pseudomonadati; Pseudomonadota; Alphaproteobacteria
Description: bacterial SSU rRNA
Rfam family: Bacterial small subunit ribosomal RNA
Source: RNAcentral